Molecule: long non-coding RNA, 5135 nt
Filed under: Homo sapiens (human)
Lineage: Eukaryota; Metazoa; Chordata; Mammalia; Primates; Hominidae
Description: HSALNT0271655
Source: RNAcentral
GUCAUCCCCUCCUGAUAUUCAGGGAUUUCCUGGGACAACAAGAGACUGCACCUGCCGGAUGAAUUCACUCAGGGGCAGGAAAGCUGGGCUGGGAGCUCUAGCGGGCGUUGCCUGACUACCUCACUGUCUGCUCUCUGAGGGAUGUUUCCUGGAACAAGUGGUUGCGCCCACCAGCUAAGUUCAGGCAUACGUGGGGCUGCUGGCCUGGAAGCUGGCGCUGAACCCUGUGCAUGUGUAGGGUGGAGGGGCGGCUGGCGGCUGGAGGGAGGGGAACAAUCCUGCUGCUCCUGGGCACUGUGACUGCAGUCUCUACUGGGGAGAUGGCACUGGUGCCUCUGUUCCAGGGUCCAAGGCUUGUGGAGGUCCCCUUGGACUUGAGAGCUGCCGCUGCAACAUUUCCGGUGGCUCUCUGCCUCAGUUUAGAAGCUGGGGGGAGGGUGCAGGGAGGCCGGCGGGGGGAAGGGGGGCGGUGGUGGGGGUCUUCCAUUCGCAACCUUACACAGGUUCCCGCGGAGAGUGUGAAGCCCUCAGGGGCCUCUUACUCACUCACCCUUUCCUGUGUUGGGGAGCUUCUCCUGGCUCCGCGUUUAUCCCAGACAGGCUGCUGCCCAGCUGCACUCCUCUCUGUUCUCUGUGUCGGCUUGCUGCCUUGAUCGAGUCCGACACGGUUUCUUAGAUAUCAGCUUGUAGGGUCAGUGUUCACCAGCCCUUUGUCUCCUCCCUGUGAGAGCAGCGCGCAGGAGCUACUUCCAGGCCGCCAUCUUGACUCAACCCCUCUUAAUGAUUCCUGUGUCUCCGGCUUUUAGAACUGAAGCAGUUAUAAGAAUAUAGACAUAUUCCACUCAGUCGGAGUGUUCAUAAAGCGAUAUUAAGCACCAUACUAUAUCUCAGCAACAUGCAUAUGUUUGAAUGGAGUUCAUGAAAGGCACUCUGUGCUAUAUGCAAAUGGAACAUAUUUUUCUCUCUUAAUAUUUGAUUCUUUCUGUUGUGGCAGACAGACCCUAAGGUUUUCAAUCUCUUGGUGUUAAAGCCUUUGUGUAAUCCCCUUCUUUAGAAUGUGAACUAGAUUUGUGACUUGCUUCUAACUAACAGAAUAUGACACACAUAAAGCAAUGUCACAUCUGUGAUUACAUUACACUGUGUAAAACUGUUCUGCUAGCUCUCCUUGUCCUGUUGAUCUUUAAGAAGCAAACUGAGAUGUUUUGGUGAGGGUCUGCUUACGAAAAAGGUUACGUGGCAGAAAAAAUAAAUGGCUAAGCACUAAAGGUGGCCUCCAUUUGACAACCUUUAUGGAUCCAGAGCCCUCAGCCACAGAGCUUCAAGAAAACAAAUUCUACCAACAGCCUACACGAGCUUGGAAGUGAGUUAUUUUGCCAUUUGAGACUCCAGAUAAAUACACACCUUUGAUAGCAGAUUGUGAGACCCAUAGUAUUUUUCUGUAUUAUGAAUAUAUAGUUACCACUGUUUCACCAAUGUGCUGUUUUUAGAAUCCUGCUAAACAAUAAACAAAAAUUAUUUUUAUUUGUGGCUAAUGAGCAAGAAAAUCUAUAAUACAAUCAAAUAGGUGUGUACUUGUUGAGUCAAAAGACAUGAAUUUGAAUAGAUAUCAUCAAAAUAGUCUCCCCAAAUUAGGAUUUAAUUUAUCCUUUUAUCAUAGUGCAAAGAAUUCAUGGUCCAAAGGAUAUUUAACCUCCACUACCUUAAGAACUCAAAGUUAGCACUGCCAACAGACAAUGGAUUUUAGAGACUGCCCUAGAUUCAUUGCCAAUGUUAUCUCUGAAAAUGAGAUUUAGCUCAUGACACAUAUAACACACCAUUCAUCUGCAUGAUUCAUUCUCCUUCAAAUAACUCAAUUUGGGGUGGGUUUAUUUGACUGACAAAGAAAAUAUCAUAGGCUUGUUGUUGAAUUACAAGUAAAGUUAGUAAAGUGAAUAUCUACCAUGAUUUGUUUCUUUAGUAAAUUGUAUUGCAAUGUUGUAUAUGCCCAAAGUAUAAAGUUCACCAAAAAAAGGCAAAUGUCCACCCUAUAUUAAUUUAUUCAUUUAUCUACCAAAGCAAUUCUAGACCUGUUCUAGCAUGUUAGUUAUAUAUAUAGACUUAGGUAUGCCCCAGAGUAUUACUGCUAUAAAGAACUACCUGAAACUGAGUAAUUUAUGAAGAAAGAGAUUUAAUUGGCUCACCGUUCCACAGGCUUAACAGGAAGCAUAACUGAGAGGCCUCAGGAAACUUACAGUCAUGGUGUAAGGUGGAGGGGAAGCAAGCACAUUCUUCACAUGGUGGCAGGAGAGAGAGAAAGAACGAGGGGGAAGUUCCAUACAGUUUUAAACCAUCAGAUCUCCUGAGACUAAACUCACUAUCAUGAGAACAGCAUGGCGAAAUCUGCCCUCAUAAUGCAGUCACUUCUCACCAGAUCCCUCCACCAACAUUGGGAGAUACAAUUCAACAUGAGAUUUGGAUGGGGACACAGAGCCAAACCAUAUCAGGUAUAUUUGCAAGAACACUUUACAGAAAAUAAAAAGGCCAAGAACAAUGCAUUGAAAAGUUACUGUAUCUGCGGAGGUAAAGGAGGCAAGCAUAAAGCAGUCUUUCUAGAAGUGCGCAUGAGAGGAUUAGCAGGGAGGUAGAAAAGAUGCCAGACCAAGGGGAGGAUAGCUUAUUUGUUUUUAUGUAUUUUGAAAAGUGAUACUCUUGUAUAAUUCAUAUGCUUAGACUAAAGUGUCCAUAGGCAGAGUGAAAUUAAAGGCAAAUAUAGAUUCAUAUGUGGAGAAAGGACCUGCUAGAAAUGAGAAGAUAAAUGUUUCAGGUGUAUAUAUCAAGAGGGAAAAGAAACUUCUUGUUUCAGGGGAAAGUUUACAGACAAAAAAAAGUAGAUAUAUUUUUAAAGUCCACACUUUCUGAGUUGAGAAUGGAAAUAGAAAAUGACACUCUGACAGAGAGAAAGGUAUACCUGCCCAGAGAUACAGAGAGCAUGCCAAACUUCAUGUAGGGCUAGGAUAUGUUGAAAAAUCAAACCUCAUGUUGAAAACUCAUCCCCAGUGUUAGAGAUGGGCCCUGGUGGGAGGUGUGUGGGUCAUGGGGAUACAUCAUUCAUGAGUCUUGACGCUGUCCUCACAAUAAUGAGGGAGUUCUCCCUCGGAGUUCACAUGAGAUCUCAUUGUCUAAAAGAGUGUGGCACCUCCCCGCUCUCUCUCUUGCUCCCCUCUUUCCACGUGAGACCGUGGCUCUCUCUUCACUUCCUGUGAUGAUUAUAAGCUCCCUGACACCCUCACCCAAAGCUGAGCAGAUGCCAGCACUAUUCUUGUAGAAGCCUGCAGAAUGUGAGCCAAUUAAAUGGCUUUUCUUUAUAAAUUUUCCAGCCUCUGUAUUUGUUUAUAGUGACACAAAUGGAAUAACACAGGCUAUUUUGUAUUUUUAUUUCUUUGGGCAUAACUGCUUUAUACUUACUCUUUUUCAGUUUUUUUUCUCCUGAAGAACUUUCAUUUACUACAUAAAAUAGGAACAGGCAUUAUUUCCUCAGAAAAAUCCUUCUUCUCUUUUUUUUUGUAACAUUAAGUAAGAUAGAUCCCACUCCAUGUUUGUUCUCUUUUUCACAAUGCUGUAUAUAUCUACUCAUAUAUGCAUAUAUUUUGGUAUAUAUAACUGUCUACAUUUUGAAAAAUACUUUGGAAAAAUAUUAUGGAAGUUUCACAAAAAAAGAAAAAUAGAAUUACCAUCUAAUCCAGCAAUCCCGUUUUUGGGUAUAUUCAAAUGAAUUGAAAUAAGUAUGGUGAAGAGAUGUUUGCACUCCUAUAUUCACUCCAGUAUUAUUCACAGUAGGCAAUAUUUGGAAGAAACAUAAGUAUCCAUCAGCAGAUAAAUACAUUUUUAAAAUGUGAUACACACAGAAACACAUAGAUACACACACACACACAAACACAGAGAGACAGAGAGAGCAUGGAAUUCUAUUAAGCUUUUAAGGUUUGCAACAAAAUAAGCAAAUCUGGAGGAUAUUAUGCUAAGUAAAAUAAGCCAAACACAGAAAAACAAUUAUCACAUGAUCUCACUUAUAUGCAGAAUUAAAAAUUUGAAUUCAUAAAUGCAGAGAGUAGAUUUGUGGUUACCAGAGCCUGAGGGAUGAGGAGGACAUGGAUGGGAAAAGGGAAAAUUUUGUUCAAAAGACACAAAUUUCAGUUAAAUGAGAGGAAUAACUUCUGGUGAUCUAUUGCGCAGUGAAGGGACUAGAGUUGAUAUUUAUGUAUUAUAUAUUUCAAAGUUGCUGAGAGGAGAUUUUAAAAGUUUUCUCACUGCAAAAAACAAUGGUAAAUAUGUGAGAUAAUAAAUAUGUUAAAUUUGUUAGCUUGAUAUGGUCAUUCCACAGUGCAUCAAUUUAUUGAAGCAUCACAUGCCACACCGUAAAUAAGUAAAACCAUUUUUUGUUAAUUAAAAGUAAAUUGCUUAAAAUGUGAAAACUGCUUGACCCUUUAAUGUUUUGCAGCCUACAUUGUAGAAAUAAUCUAAGGUAUUACUGAUAGGUGUUAUCUAACUUAUGUAUAUAUUUUACUGUAAGAGAAAGACAGUUACCCAUAGAAAAAAACAACACUGAACUUGGGAAGACUUCAACCUCUUCACUCUCCAACCUCCACUCCCUUCAGAGGUAGAAUUUUUCUGAAAGGAUCAGGAAAAUGUAUUUUCUCUGCACAAUUUUCUCUCCAAGAAAAGCAUACUAAGAAUGUUUGCUUCUUAUACUCCACAUAGCCAUCAUCUACCACAGUCAUUCAUCUGGACUUCAAGUCUGCCCUGCUGGGAAGUAGGUCACCACCUCUACACUGGGCCACUGUCAAGAUCCAAAAUGUGCUAAAACUUAGUCACCACUCUAUUUGGUAGCAAUCCAAAGUGGACCAAAACAUUUCCUAAGUAAUACCAAGGUCAAAAAUAUAAUGUCGAUAUGUCAAAUUUUGAUCUCUGUGAGUGGAUACUAGUAAAUGGAGAGUUGUUAUGAGUAGGAUGAGAGGAAAGUUGUUGGUUGUUUCAUAAAAGCAAAGAAAAUUAAGGAAAUAAAAGUAAGCCAUCAACAAGUACAUGUCCAGCAUUAGGAGACAUACCUAAUGUAAAUGACAAGUUAAUGGGUGCAGCACACCAACAUGGCGCAUGUAUAC